Molecule: ribosomal RNA, 807 nt
Filed under: Triticum aestivum (bread wheat)
Lineage: Eukaryota; Viridiplantae; Streptophyta; Magnoliopsida; Poales; Poaceae
Description: partial small subunit ribosomal RNA
Source: RNAcentral
AUGGACUGCCGCCAUGGGCGCGCCCUCUUUGCUCACAUCCGGAACACCUCUGUCCUCAUGGUCUUGGACCCUGUGACGGGCCACCAGCGCCGCGUGCCCUCGACACCCAAGUACCUGCUCAGCUUCAGUGCGGCGGUGCUCUGCGCCGCACAAGGCUGCGACCACCACGGUUGCCAAGGAGGGCAUUUCCGUCUGGCCGUCGUGACCACCGAUCAGCGGCAAGGCGUCACAUCGGGCUGGCUGUACUCGUCGGAGACUCGCGUGUGGAGCGAGCUCACCUCCGUUCACCACCCCAAUGCCAGGUAUACCAAUAACUUUGGUGCGCCCAGCGUCCUUUUGGGCGAUGCACUCUACUUCAACAUUGGUGGCAUCGUGGAGUGCCAACUUGGCACACUCCGCUUGUCAAUGUUCGAGAAGCCGAUCAAUCGCGGUGGGCGUCUCAUGACGGUGGAAGAGGGCAGGCUGGGAUUCGCUGCCGUGGUUGAUGUCACAAAUCUAACCCUAUGGUCGUGGGAGACCGGACCCGUGGGAGCCAUUGGAUGGGCAAAACUCAGGGUAAUUGAUCUCAAGACGCUGCUCCCAACAUGUGAGUUUGGGCUUAGGAGGUGGGCAAAUGCAUUGGUGGUCAGUGGCGUCGCGGAGGGCACCCAAGUCAUUUUUGUGAGAGCACGUGUUGGUUCUUAUAUGGUUCAUCUCAAGUCAGGGCGAGUCAAGCCGGUGUGUGCUUCUUCUGACAUAAAAAUAUUUCCCUACGUGAGCUUCUACAUCCCAGCAAUGGAAGCAGCUUGUUUUGGCAAGGGGCAGUGA